UAAGCCUGUGAAGGUGUGUCGUGAGGCAUGCUGGAGGUAUCAGAAGUGCGAAUGCUGACAUAAGUAACGAUAAAGCGGGUGAAAAGCCCGCUCGCCGGAAGACCAAGGGUUCCUGUCCAACGUUAAUCGGGGCAGGGUGAGUCGACCCCUAAGGCGAGGCCGAAAGGCGUAGUCGAUGGGAAACGGGUUAAUAUUCCCGUACUUGGUGUUACUGCGAAGGGGGGACGGAGAAGGCUAUGUUGGCCGGGCGACGGUUGUCCCGGUUUAAGCGUGUAGGUGUGUGUUCCAGGUAAAUCCGGUUCACUUUAACACUGAGGCGUGACGACGAGGCACUACGGUGCUGAAGCAACAAAUGCCCUGCUUCCAGGAAAAGCCUCUAAGCAUCAGGUAACAUCAAAUCGUACCCCAAACCGACACAGGUGGUCAGGUAGAGAAUACCAAGGCGCUUGAGAGAACUCGGGUGAAGGAACUAGGCAAAAUGGUGCCGUAACUUCGGGAGAAGGCACGCUGACACGUAGGUGAAGUGAUUUACUCAUGGAGCUGAAGUCAGUCGAAGAUACCAGCUGGCUGCAACUGUUUAUUAAAAACACAGCACUGUGCAAACACGAAAGUGGACGUAUACGGUGUGACGCCUGCCCGGUGCCGGAAGGUUAAUUGAUGGGGUCAGCGCAAGCGAAGCUCCUGAUCGAAGCCCCGGUAAACGGCGGCCGUAACUAUAACGGUCCUAAGGUAGCGAAAUUCCUUGUCGGGUAAGUUCCGACCUGCACGAAUGGCGUAAUGAUGGCCAGGCUGUCUCCACCCGAGACUCAGUGAAAUUGAACUCGCUGUGAAGAUGCAGUGUACCCGCGGCAAGACGGAAAGACCCCGUGAACCUUUACUAUAGCUUGACACUGAACAUUGAGCCUUGAUGUGUAGGAUAGGUGGGAGGCUUUGAAGCGUGGACGCCAGUCUGCGUGGAGCCGACCUUGAAAUACCACCCUUUAAUGUUUGAUGUUCUAACGUGGACCCGUGAUCCGGGUUGCGGACAGUGUCUGGUGGGUAGUUUGACUGGGGCGGUCUCCUCCUAAAGAGUAACGGAGGAGCACGAAGGUUGGCUAAUCCUGGUCGGACAUCAGGAGGUUAGUGCAAUGGCAUAAGCCAGCUUGACUGCGAGCGUGACGGCGCGAGCAGGUGCGAAAGCAGGUCAUAGUGAUCCGGUGGUUCUGAAUGGAAGGGCCAUCGCUCAACGGAUAAAAGGUACUCCGGGGAUAACAGGCUGAUACCGCCCAAGAGUUCAUAUCGACGGCGGUGUUUGGCACCUCGAUGUCGGCUCAUCACAUCCUGGGGCUGAAGUAGGUCCCAAGGGUAUGGCUGUUCGCCAUUUAAAGUGGUACGCGAGCUGGGUUUAGAACGUCGUGAGACAGUUCGGUCCCUAUCUGCCGUGGGCGCUGGAGAACUGAGGGGGGCUGCUCCUAGUACGAGAGGACCGGAGUGGACGCAUCACUGGUGUUCGGGUUGUCAUGCCAAUGGCACUGCCCGGUAGCUAAAUGCGGAAGAGAUAAGUGCUGAAAGCAUCUAAGCACGAAACUUGCCCCGAGAUGAGUUCUCCCUGAGACUUAAAGUCUCCUGAAGGAACGUUGAAGACGACGACGUUGAUAGGCCGGGUGUGUAAGCGCAGCGAUGCGUUGAGCUAACCGGUACUAAUGAACCGUGAGGCUUAACCUUACA
RNAcentral lists this ribosomal RNA (1707 nucleotides) under Salmonella enterica. Its description in RNAcentral is "partial 23S ribosomal RNA". It matches the Rfam family "Bacterial large subunit ribosomal RNA", at positions 1243 to 2925 of the family's 2925-position model. The record is from RNAcentral. Lineage: Bacteria; Pseudomonadati; Pseudomonadota; Gammaproteobacteria; Enterobacterales; Enterobacteriaceae.